CAGUCGCCACGGGAAUACAGAGGGUGCGAGCGUUAAUCGGAUUUACUGGGCGUAAAGCGUGCGUAGGCGGCUUCUUAAGUCGGAUGUGAAAUCCCUGAGCUUAACUUAGGAAUUGCAUUCGAUACUGGGAAGCUAGAGUAUGGGAGAGGAUGGUAGAAUUCCAGGUGUAGCGGUGAAAUGCGUAGAGAUCUGGAGGAAUACCGGUGGCGAAGGCGGCCCCCUGGACAAAGACUGACGCUCAGGUGCGAAAGCGUGGGGAGCAAACAGGAUUAGAGACCCCUGUAGUCCCUGUCUCUUAUAC
RNAcentral lists this ribosomal RNA (301 nucleotides) under uncultured bacterium. RNAcentral describes it as "partial 16S ribosomal RNA". It matches the Rfam family "Bacterial small subunit ribosomal RNA", at positions 509 to 807 of the family's 1533-position model. The record is from RNAcentral.